RNAcentral lists this unclassified non-coding RNA (354 nucleotides) under soil metagenome. Its description in RNAcentral is "partial contains 5.8S ribosomal RNA, internal transcribed spacer 2, and large subunit ribosomal RNA". The stretch from base 1 to 120 matches the Rfam family "5.8S ribosomal RNA", at positions 35 to 154 of the family's 154-position model. The record is from RNAcentral.
GAUGAAGAACGUAGCGAAAUGCGAUAAGUAAUGUGAAUUGCAGAAUUCAGUGAAUCAUCGAAUCUUUGAACGCACAUUGCGCCCGCCAGUAUUCUGGCGGGCAUGCCUGUUCGAGCGUCAUUACAACCCUCAGGCCCCCGGGCCUGGCGUUGGGGAUCGGCGGAAGCCCCCUGCGGGCACAACGCCGUCCCCCAAAUACAGUGGCGGUCCCGCCGCAGCUUCCAUUGCGUAGUAGCUAACACCUCGCAACUGGAGAGCGGCGCGGCCACGCCGUAAAACACCCAACUUCUGAAUGUUGACCUCGAAUCAGGUAGGAAUACCCGCUGAACUUAAGCAUAUCAAUAAGCGGAAGGA